AGUCGGAGGCAGUUGGUCAGCCAAGGGGUGAGUCUGUCAGUCUCGGCGAGUCUAAUCAGUUGGUCAGCCGGCUCAGUGUGGGGCAGUCAGUGUCUGUUUGUCGUCUGGAGUGCUGGUAUGUGUUAGGCCGUCAGUCUGCGCGAGCUUGUUUAGGCAGUGGUCAUUGGCGGUUGGAUCGAUCGAUUCAUCGGUCGCGCACUGAGACACAUGAUGACUUGUCCGCCUUGAGCGUCGGCGCAUGUGAGGUCGCCACGUGAGUCCAGUGAGCCGCGGCGUAUAGCGAGGGGUAGUGGCUUCGCGGUCGACACGAGAGCAACAGGAGUCAACCCACGACAUCGGUCUGGCCGGGGCGAGCUGCGACGUCGUGAGACGGGAGAUCGGCGCGCCUUCCUGCGUCCGAUGAAGAGGCUGCCAGCGGACGGUUCGGGAGAGCGUUUUGGAGGGUGCUGCGCCAGGUCUUCGCCAGGCAUCGCAGUUUAUUAAAGACAAUACUUGGUUGUAACAGCCAAGUAACUACCUACAGUGUGAAUGAUGGAUUUAAUGAAAGCAGAUUUGGUUUGAAGAACUUGCUGGACAAUUCGGGCGUAUGAUUCAGCCAUCCAGAUCGCCCUACAUGAAUCCUAUUGAACAUUAUCGGGACAAAUUGAGAGAGGUCGCCGCGACAUAUCCGGCCACGGAUUGCUACGCCGGGUUUCUAUUGGCUCCCGCUCACUAUAUAGGCCCGGCCUGUCAAGGGCAGACCAGUCUUCGUCCCCUGCUAAUGGCAACCGCUAUAGCAGAGUCUCUGAGAAGAUAUCACCGAAGCCGCUGUACUGCACCAGCCGACCGAGGGGAACCACAUCUCCGGUUGGAUCGACGGACGUCUACACUCAUUGUACAACCAGCUAUUGUACUGUAGAAGAAGUUACGUUC
Molecule: long non-coding RNA, 912 nt
Organism: Schistocerca serialis cubense
Lineage: Eukaryota; Metazoa; Arthropoda; Insecta; Orthoptera; Acrididae
Exons: 4
Source: RefSeq, a predicted model, not a curated record